This is a long non-coding RNA of Solanum lycopersicum (tomato), 535 nucleotides long. RefSeq lists it as uncharacterized. The record is from RefSeq and is a predicted model, not a curated record. NCBI's taxonomy places the organism in Eukaryota, Viridiplantae, Streptophyta, Magnoliopsida, Solanales, Solanaceae.
UGAGUAACAGACAUAAAACUGAUUUUGACUAGCAAUUAAAAUUUAUUAAUUGAUUUAAGAAAAAAUCAAUGUAAGAAUUACAUUGAUCUUUAAUUUCAAAAGGCAAUAAUGAUUUCAACCCACUAUAAAUAUCAACAGAAAAUGUGUCUAUUUAACCAAAAGAACUCAAAAUUACUUGAGGAAAUGUUGUUCAUCACUAAGCAAUUGAUUUCCUUCACUCUACUUCUUUUUGUCAUCUUCCCUUCAAAUGAAUGUGUCAAAGGAAAUAACAACUUGAGUCCUAUGAGUAAAAAGAUAGAAUUAGAUAAGAAUUGUACAACAACUCUUGGUCCAUGUACCUCAAUAUGCAAUGCAAGAUGUUGCCAUAGGUUAUGUGACUUAUACCUUGGUAGUAGAACACACCAUGCAUUGGGAAUUUGCAAGUAUUAUAGUAGUUCCAAAUAUAAGACUUGUGUUUGUACUUAUGAUUGUACAUCCAAAUGAUGUCAAUUGGUUUCAUUUGAUUCAAAAGAAAUAUUAAUUACCCUUGUUUGAA